UAAACGCGAAGGAACCUUACCCAGACUUGACAUGCAGAAGACAGCUUUAGAGAUAGAGUGUUCCUUAGGGACUUCUGCACAGGUGCUGCAUGGCUGUCGUCAGCUCGUGCCGUGAGGUGUUGGGUUAAGUCCCGCAACGAGCGCAACCCUUAUCAUUAGUUGCCAACACGUAAUGGUGGGAACUCUAAUGAGACUGCCUGGGUUAACCAGGAGGAAGGUGAGGAUGACGUCAAGUCCGCAUGGCCCUUAUGUCUGGGGCUACACACGUGCUACAAUGGUCGGUACAGAAGGCAGCGAAGCCGUGAGGUGAAGCAAAUCCCAAAAAGCCGAUCCCAGUUCAGAUUGUAGUCUGCAACUCGACUACAUGAAGAUGGAAUUGCUAGUAAUGGCGAGUCAGCA
Molecule: ribosomal RNA, 399 nt
Filed under: uncultured bacterium
Lineage: Bacteria
Description: bacterial SSU rRNA
Rfam family: Bacterial small subunit ribosomal RNA
Source: RNAcentral